Molecule: ribosomal RNA, 162 nt
Filed under: Lefebvrea abyssinica
Lineage: Eukaryota; Viridiplantae; Streptophyta; Magnoliopsida; Apiales; Apiaceae
Description: 5.8S ribosomal RNA
Rfam family: 5.8S ribosomal RNA
About the family: 5.8S ribosomal RNA (5.8S rRNA) is a component of the large subunit of the eukaryotic ribosome.
Source: RNAcentral
GAUGACUCUCGACAACGGAUAUCUCGGCUCUCGCAUCGAUGAAGAACGUAGCGAAAUGCGAUACUUGGUGUGAAUUGCAGAAUCCCGUGAACCAUCGAGUCUUUGAACGCAAGUUGCGCCCGAAGCCAUCAGGCCGAGGGCACGUCUGCCUGGGUGUCACGC